Molecule: ribosomal RNA, 445 nt
Filed under: uncultured bacterium
Lineage: Bacteria
Description: bacterial SSU rRNA
Rfam family: Bacterial small subunit ribosomal RNA
Source: RNAcentral
CCUACGGGUCGCACCAGUGGGGAAUAUUGCACAAUGGGCGAAAGCCUGAUGCAGCGACGCCGCGUGAGGGAUGACGGCCUUCGGGUUGUAAACCUCUUUCAGCAGGGAAGAAGCGAAAGUGACGGUACCUGCAGAAGAAGUGCCGGCUAACUACGUGCCAGCAGCCGCGGUAAUACGUAGGGCGCGAGCGUUGUCCGGAAUUAUUGGGCGUAAAGAGCUCGUAGGCGGCUUGUCACGUCGGUUGUGAAAGCCCGGGGCUUAACCCCGGGUCUGCAGUCGAUACGGGCAGGCUAGAGUUCGGUAGGGGAGAUCGGAACUCCUGGUGUAGCGGUGAAAUACGCAGAUAUCAGGAGGAACACCGGUGGCGAAGGCGGAUCUCUGGGCCGAUACUGACGCUGAGGAGCGAAAGCGUGGGGAGCGAACAGGAUUAGAUACCCGUGUAGUC